GACGAGCCACACAAACGUUAUUCGGAAUCACUGGGCUUAAAGGGUGCGUAGGCGGCGCGACAAGUUGGGUGUGAAAGCCCUCGGCUUAACCGAGGAAUUGCGCCCAAAACUGUCGUGCUCGAGUAAGAUAGAGGUGAGCGGAACUCAGGGUGGAGCGGUGAAAUGCGUUGAUAUCCUGAGGAACACCGGUGGCGAAAGCGGCUCACUGGGUCUUUUCUGACGCUGAUGCACGAAAGCUAGGGUAGCGAACGGG
Molecule: ribosomal RNA, 253 nt
Filed under: uncultured bacterium
Lineage: Bacteria
Description: partial 16S ribosomal RNA
Rfam family: Bacterial small subunit ribosomal RNA
Source: RNAcentral